AGGGAAAUAGCUCAGUGCAGAGCACAUGCUUAGGAUGUAUGAAGUCCUGGGUUCAAUCCCUAGUAUCUCUG
This 71-nucleotide transfer RNA is filed under the name Camelus ferus (Wild Bactrian camel). It matches the Rfam family "tRNA". Rfam says of the family: Transfer RNA (tRNA) molecules are approximately 80 nucleotides in length. The record is from Rfam by way of RNAcentral. Lineage: Eukaryota; Metazoa; Chordata; Mammalia; Artiodactyla; Camelidae.